CUAACAAGGAUUCCCCUAGUAACUGCGAGUGAAGCGGGAAAAGCUCAAAUUUGAAAUCUGGCAGUCUUUUUUUUCUUCUUUGGCUGUCCGAGUUGUAAUCUAGAGAAGUGCUUACCUGCACUGGACCAUGUAUAAGUCUCCUGGAAUGGAGCGUCACAGAGGGUGAGAAUCCCGUCUUUGACAUGGACCGCCAGUGUGUUGUGGUGUGCUCUCAAAGAGUCGAGUUGUUUGGGAAUGCAGCUCUAAAUGGGUGGUAAACUCCAUCUAAAGCUAAAUAUUGGCGAGAGACCGAUAGUGAACAAGUACCGUGAGGGAAAGAUGAAAAGGACUUUGGAAAGAGAGUUAAACAGUAUGUGAAAUUGUUGAAAGGGAAACGCUUGAAGUCAGUUAUGUUGGCUAGGGAUCAACCUAGCUGUUUUUUGCUGGGUGAAUUUCCUAGUCUGACAGGCCAACAUCAGUCUUGACUGCUGGAAAAGAGCAGAGGGAAUGUGGCACCUUUGGGUGUGUUAUAGCCUUUUGUCAUAUGUGGCAGUUGGGACUGAGGGAUGCAGCAUGCCGCGAGGCUGGGUUUCUGACCACGUUCAUGCUCAGGAUGUUGGCUUUUAAUGGCUUCAAUCGACCCGUCUUGAAACACGGACCAAGGAGUCUAACAUGCCUGCGAGUGUUUGGGUGGGGAAAACCCUUGUGCACAAUGAAAGUGAAAGUUGAGAUCCCUGUCAUGGGGAGCAUCGACGCCCGGACCUGAGCUUUUAGCGACGGAUCUGCGGUAGAGCAUGCAUGUUGGGACCCGAAAGAUGGUGAACUAUGCCUGAAUAGGGCAAAGCCAGAGGAAACUCUGGUGGAGGCUCGUAGCGAUUCUGACGUGCAAAUCGAUCGUCAAAUUUGGGUAUAGGGGCGAAAGACUAAUCG
RNAcentral lists this ribosomal RNA (909 nucleotides) under Amanita aff. brunneofuliginea. Its description in RNAcentral is "eukaryotic LSU rRNA". It matches the Rfam family "Eukaryotic large subunit ribosomal RNA", at positions 65 to 937 of the family's 3401-position model. Lineage: Eukaryota; Fungi; Basidiomycota; Agaricomycetes; Agaricales; Amanitaceae. The record is from RNAcentral.